Molecule: ribosomal RNA, 253 nt
Filed under: uncultured bacterium
Lineage: Bacteria
Description: partial 16S ribosomal RNA
Rfam family: Bacterial small subunit ribosomal RNA
Source: RNAcentral
UACGUAGGGGGCAAGCGUUGUUCGGAAUUACUGGGCGUAGAGCGCGCGUAGGCGGUUUGAAAAGUCAGAUGUGAAAGCCCCGGGCUCAACUUGGGAACUGCAUUUGAUACUGUCAGACUAGAGUACAGAAGAGGUGACUGGAAUUCCCAGUGUAGCGGUGAAAUGCGUAGAUAUUGGGAGGAACACCAGAUGCGAAGGCGGGUCACUGGGCUGAUACUGACGCUGAAGUGCGAAAGCCAGGGGAGCGAACGGG